Molecule: ribosomal RNA, 440 nt
Filed under: uncultured bacterium
Lineage: Bacteria
Description: partial 16S ribosomal RNA
Rfam family: Bacterial small subunit ribosomal RNA
Source: RNAcentral
CCUACGGGUGGCAGCAGUGGGGAAUAUUGCACAAUGGGCGAAACCCUGAUGCAGCGACGCCGCGUGCGUGAAGAAGUAUCUCGGUAUGUAAAGCUCUAUCAGCAGGGAAGAAAAUGACGUUACCUGAUUAAGAAUCCCCGGCUCAGUACGUGACAGCAGCCGAGGUAAUACGUAGGGGGCAAGCGUUAUCCGGAGUUACUGGGUGUAAAGGGAGCGUAGGCGGCAGGACAAGUCUGAAGUGAAAUGCCGGGGCUUAACCCCGGAACUGCUUUGGAAACUGUGCAGCUAGAGUGCAGGGGAGGUAGGUGGAAUUCCUAGUGUAGCGGUGAAAUGCGUAGAUAUUAGGAAGAACACCGGUGGCGAAGGCAGCUUACUGGACUGUAACUGACGUUGAGGCUCGAAAGCGUGGGGAGCAAACAGGAUUAGAUACCCUUGUAGUC